AUGACUCUCUCUUUUACUUCCUUCUUCUCCAUUAUUCCCUUGCUCUUUGAUUUUCUUUCUUCUCCUUCUUCCUCUGUUGAUUAUUGGUCUCUUCUGUUUCGCUGUAUUAUUGUUUUUUUGAUGUUACUUCUUUGCAUCCGGGAAGCGUUGCAUGAGGUUCUACCUGGAAGCGCUGUUCACUUUGUUACUGGAUUUUUGAAGUCAAUGGAUGGCUUAAAAUUGUGAUUACCAAGAAUAAGUAUGCCUUUGCUACUUGAUUCGUCGAACACUUAACUCUGUUGAUAUUAGAGCUACCAUUCUUUAAGCUCGCUGGUAUAGAGAAGAAGAGUUGUUUAAUUGGAGUCUUGAGAGGAAACGGAACUAGAAAGCUCGACGAAAGGGAUAAGCUGUAUGAAUUUUCAGAAUAUCCUUAUCCACGAAGGGAAAGAACUAAAAGAACACUAUCAUACACAGCUUUGAAGAUGUAUUGGGAGUUUAUGAACAAGGAGCUCCAGGUUUUCUUAAGCAUCCAAUGCAACACGUUGUGAGAGUAGCUUCUGCUGCAAGAGAAAAGAAAGCUGGAUGAGGGAUUGAAAAAAUUGAGCGAACUUAUAAUAUGCCUUCAGCUAAGAAGCUUCUUGAAAUCCUAUUAGCUAGCGUUGGUAGUUGUAGAAGAACUGAGGAUUGGGCCUAAAGUAAUCAAGAAGCUGGAGACUUCAUCUUUAUGCAAGAAGAUGAAGGCGAGUAAUUACAUUUUGGCUGGACCCAACAACACUGCCCAAAAAAUCAACUUCGGGUUCAUAUGGAGCGAAAUCCUUCUAACCUGGCAAUAGAUUUAGUUAUUCCCGCACUCAAGGUGAAAAGAUCACGGCUGCUUGACCAUUAUAAGUUUGGUAGCAGACACAAGAUGGGAAAGAAAACCAAUUCAACUCUUUGUCUGGGGCUGAGUUUCAUAAGCAUAUAAUUCCUCGGUAGCUCUUCUUUUGAGAAGACAUAGAGCACAUGUGGAUGUUGCGGGCAAGAAAUGAUGCGCUGUACUUGAACAAGCUUCAGAUGAGGUGUGCUCAAAUUUGUGAAGUCAGCUGCUCCUGAUGCUGCUUUAGUUCCUUGGAGAAUCCAAGAAGAUAUGCAUGUUCAGUAUUAUUCUGGAACAAGAAACUAGAAGGCUGUCAACACAGGUGGACGGCUACACUUCACGACUUGAAAGAAGGUUAAUAUCUAAGUGGUAGAUUAAAUAUUGAGAUUCUUCUGGACGGUAGAUAGUUAUGGUUCUGACUUCUGUGUAUCAAAAUUUACAUUUAAUUGAAUUCAAGGAGAGUUAUUGCUAAUACAAGGGCGGGUAACUUAUUGUAUGAGCGGUGUUUUCAGAACCUAAAGAUACAAUUCUUUUGUGAACACAACAUGACUAUAACAAAGCAUCAAGUUAAAUUAUUCAGCCAAUUACGAAGUCAGGACCUGAAGAAGAUGGUGGCUUGUUGAAGCUGUAAUUCAACAGCCCAGGCGUGCACUUAUAAGGCAUUUAUAACUAAAAACACGGUGCAACAUUUAUAUCUGGCCUUGUUAUUUGAAAAUUUAAGGUAUAUUUUACCAACCUGUGUGAUGCAAACACUUAUUUUCAUGAGCUCAAGGUCUGUACUUUUAUGGAAUUUAAUUAUAACUAAAAACAAGAGCAACACUUUUAUGGCCUGUAUGAGCUUUAUUCAGCAAAUAGAACGAACUUAAGAAUAAGUCAAGCUCUCUGAGGAAUACCCUUGCAUCAACAUAAGCACCUGUGCAUUGAGUGUCUUAGAAUUUUUUUCUUCUAAUGUUGUUACUUUUCCCCCCUAUAUUGCAUGUCAAACAGAGUUGAUCAACUUGAUUUCUCUUUUGGGCUUUUGAUUAUUAAUCAUUUUUUGUUUAUCACAAUUUUGUUUUUAAUGUUUUGGUCUCAUUUAGAUCAGGUUAUGCCCUUAAUCUAAUGAUAAUUUUAUUUUCCCCC
Lycium barbarum (goji berry) is the source of this 1957-nucleotide long non-coding RNA. RefSeq lists it as uncharacterized. The transcript is spliced from 11 exons. The record is from RefSeq and is a predicted model, not a curated record. Lineage: Eukaryota; Viridiplantae; Streptophyta; Magnoliopsida; Solanales; Solanaceae.